Non-coding RNA from Pelobates cultripes (western spadefoot toad), 412 nucleotides. The record is from the annotation of a GenBank genome assembly. Lineage: Eukaryota; Metazoa; Chordata; Amphibia; Anura; Pelobatidae.
GGGGAAGUGUCAGUGAUUUCUUGUAUGUUCUCUGAGUGUCUGAGUGGUAUGGUGUAGGAGCAUUGUUAGAGGGUUUAAGGCUAUUUCAUUGCCUGUAAUUUCUUGGAUUUUGGCGCGGAUCAUUUCCCAGAAUGGGGCAAUGGAGGGGCACGACAACCAGAUGUGGGGGUUUGUACCCGCUUCCGAGCCACAUCUCCAGCAUGUGCCUGGUAUGUCUGCGUGCAUGUGAUGUAAGACAUCCAGUGUCCUGUUCCAUAGUGUGAGAAGUAUGUAGCCUUCUUCCUGGUAUCUCGAACUGAUAAAGCAUUUGUGCAUUAGUGUGAAUAUUUUGUCCAUUCUUGUGUGGUGAGAGUCGUCCCCGUGUCUCUUUCCCAUUUGCUUAUCCUACGUGGGUAUUGCUAUUUUUUUAUUG